RNAcentral lists this ribosomal RNA (494 nucleotides) under uncultured bacterium. Its description in RNAcentral is "partial 16S ribosomal RNA". It matches the Rfam family "Bacterial small subunit ribosomal RNA", at positions 28 to 507 of the family's 1533-position model. The record is from RNAcentral.
GACGAACGCUGGCGGCGUGCCUAAUACAUGCAAGUAGAACGCUGAAGGAGGAGCUUGCUUCUCUGGAUGAGUUGCGCACGGGUGAGUAACGCGUAGGUAACCUGCCUGGUAGCGGGGGAUAACUAUUGGAAACGACAGCUAAUACCGCAUAAGAGUAGAUGUUGCAUGACAUUUGCUUAAAAGGUGCAAUUGCAUCACUACCAGAUGGCGCUUCGUUGUAUUAGCUAGUUGGUGAGGUAACGGCUCACCAAGGCGACGAUCCAUAGCCGACCUGAGAGGUGAACCGCCCACACGGGAACGGAACAACGCCCCGGACUCCUCGGGAGGGAGGCGGAGGGGAUCCUCGGGAAUGGGCGGAAGGCUGGACGAGCCACGGCGGCGGAGUGAAUAAGGUUUUCGGGUUGUAAAGAUCCGGUGUAAGGGAAGAACGAGUGGGAGAGUGAAAAGUGCACGCUGUGACGGUACCUUACCAGAAAGCGACGGCUAACUACGUG